RNAcentral lists this ribosomal RNA (104 nucleotides) under Sus scrofa (pig). RNAcentral's name for it is "partial large subunit ribosomal RNA". Lineage: Eukaryota; Metazoa; Chordata; Mammalia; Artiodactyla; Suidae. The record is from RNAcentral.
AAUGGUUUAACCAGAAAAAAUCUAACAAAGAGAACUUUAGCUAGAUACCCCGAAACCAGACGAGCUACCUAUGAGCAGUUUAAAAGAACCAACUCAUCUAUGUG